Molecule: non-coding RNA, 26 nt
Filed under: Homo sapiens (human)
Lineage: Eukaryota; Metazoa; Chordata; Mammalia; Primates; Hominidae
Source: RNAcentral
UAGGACAUUAUGACGUGCUUGGGUUC